This 501-nucleotide ribosomal RNA is filed under the name uncultured Glomus. RNAcentral's name for it is "SSU rRNA". It matches the Rfam family "Eukaryotic small subunit ribosomal RNA", at positions 569 to 1074 of the family's 1831-position model. Lineage: Eukaryota; Fungi; Glomeromycota; Glomeromycetes; Glomerales; Glomeraceae. The record is from RNAcentral.
AGCAGCCGCGGUAAUUCCAGCUCCAAUAGCGUAUAUUAAAGUUGCUGCAGUUAAAAAGCUCGUAGUUGAAUUUCGGGACCAUCAUGUCGGUCGUGCCUCGGUACGUACUGGCAUUGUUGGUUUCUACCUUCUGACGAACCAUGAUGUCAUUUAUUUGGUGUCGUGGGAAAUCAGGACUGUUACUUUGAAAAAUUAGAGUGUUUAAAGCAGGCUCACGCUUGAAUACAUUAGCAUGGAAUAAUGAAAUAGGACGUUUGAUUCUAUUUUGUUGGUUUCUAGGAUCGACGUAAUGAUUAAUAGGGAUAGUUGGGGGCAUUAGUAUUCAAUUGUCAGAGGUGAAAUUCUUGGAUUUAUUGAAGACUAACUACUGCGAAAGCAUUUGCCAAGGAUGUUUUCAUUAAUCAAGAACGAAAGUUAGGGGAUCGAAGACGAUCAGAUACCGUCGUAGUCUUAACUAUAAACUAUGCCGACUAGGGAUCGGAUGAUGUUAAUUUUUAAUGA